RNAcentral lists this ribosomal RNA (484 nucleotides) under uncultured bacterium. Its description in RNAcentral is "partial 16S ribosomal RNA". It matches the Rfam family "Bacterial small subunit ribosomal RNA", at positions 28 to 507 of the family's 1533-position model. The record is from RNAcentral.
AUUGAACGCUGGCGGCAUGCUUUACACAUGCAAGUCGAACGGCAGCGCGGGCUUCGGCCUGGCGGCGAGUGGCGAACGGGUGAGUAAUGCAUCGGAACGUGCCCAGUAGUGGGGGAUAGCCCGGGGAAAGCCGGAUUAAUACCGCAUACGACCUGAGGGUGAAAGCGGGGGACCGAAAGGCCUCGCGCUAUUGGAGCGGCCGAUGUCGGAUUAGCUAGUUGGUGGGGUAAAGGCUUACCAAGGCGACGAUCCGUAGCUGGUCUGAGAGGACGACCAGCCACACUGGGACUGAGACACGGCCCAGACUCCUACGGGAGGCAGCAGUGGGGAAUUUUGGACAAUGGGGGCAACCCUGAUCCAGCCAUGCCGCGUGCGGGAAGAAGGCCUUCGGGUUGUAAACCGCUUUUGUUCGGGAAGAAAUCCUCUGGGCUAAUACCCCGGGGGGAUGACGGUACCGGAAGAAUAAGCACCGGCUAACUACGUG